GUCCACGCCUAACGAUGUCAACUGGUUGUUGGACGGCUUGCUGUUCAGUAACGAAGCUAACGCGUGAAGUUGACCGCCUGGGAGUACGGCCGCAAGGUUGAAACUCAAAGGAAUUGACGGGACCCGCACAAGCGGUGGAUGAUGUGGUUUAAUUCGAUGCAACGCGAAACCUUACCUACCCUUGACAUGUCUGGAAUCCUGAAGAGAUUUGGGAGUGCUCGAAAGAGAGCCAGAACACAGGUGCUGCAUGGCCGUCGU
Molecule: ribosomal RNA, 258 nt
Filed under: uncultured bacterium
Lineage: Bacteria
Description: partial 16S ribosomal RNA
Rfam family: Bacterial small subunit ribosomal RNA
Source: RNAcentral